CUCCAUGGUCGUUCGGAAGCAUGAUGACUGGGUUCACGCUCCUCUGUAGGCCGGGCCUCCCUCAGACCUUGUUACGAUGUCAGCACAUUACCCGGGUGACG
Small nucleolar RNA from Saimiri boliviensis boliviensis (Bolivian squirrel monkey), 101 nucleotides. RefSeq annotates it as small nucleolar RNA U13. Lineage: Eukaryota; Metazoa; Chordata; Mammalia; Primates; Cebidae. The record is from RefSeq and is a predicted model, not a curated record.